UUUUUGACUACUGUCAACAGGCUGCGCUGAACACUCCGAACAAUAUAGUCGAUAUAUCUGUCAUCGGUUUCCCGUCCCUUUCCUUCCUAUUCUGGGGCUCAGAACCCUAGGAGGUGUCAAUGCCAGGAGACUCCCACAGUCCAGGACUUGGCCUACUGCCGCUCAGUAUAACACAACAUAAUUAUGAAAAGAGUAACAGCGAAAACGAGUUACGGG
Molecule: long non-coding RNA, 216 nt
Filed under: Rhinopithecus bieti (black snub-nosed monkey)
Lineage: Eukaryota; Metazoa; Chordata; Mammalia; Primates; Cercopithecidae
Description: lncRNA (ENSRBIG00000045112.1)
Source: RNAcentral